AAUAAACGACGACGUGCAACGUUUUAGUCAGAGAUUGUUAGUGAAGUUACACCGCUAUUGUGCUACGAUCAGAGGAUCGAAGUUGCCGCUAUUUCGUGUAUUUCGUUGUCUCUCUGCUACCCUUUGGUGCGAGUCGUCAACCAAAGGACUCGUGGAUGCAAUGUGGGACUCUCUGAAGUGGAGAAUUCUCCUGUUAGUGGUUGUGACAUCUGCUGCAGCAGCGACAUCACUAAAACCAAUGGAUAUCGGGGAAUCACCAAUCGGUGGUAAGAAGCUGUAAUGUACUAAUUUAGCCAGGCCUAAAAUUAGGCCUUGCAGUGAUUUGUUAGUUUCUUUUCAAUUAUUAUUUGGCUUAAAUUUACAAACGUUAGAGAGUGAUUUAAUUUGUCCCGUGUAACAACACCCAACAAUUAGUUCAAAAAACCCAAAACUAAAAAAACGAAAACAACGGAAUUAAGACGAAAUCGAGCAAUUUCAGUUUUUAACGGACAAAAAUCUUGUACCAGAGUAACUUUAAGUGUAUUUUAAUACAGUGCGUUUUCCAUUUUACAAAAGCUUAAGAUAUAAAUAGUUGCCUUAAAUAACACCAAAAAUAAUGUCCCGUCGGAACUCGAGAAAAUCAUGCAAUUUUAAAGCUCAGAAAAAUUGUGCAAAGAUAGGUAAAAUUUCAUCAUCAGUUUCAUUUCACCAAUAGUUUUAAGUGUUUU
Molecule: long non-coding RNA, 707 nt
Organism: Orbicella faveolata
Lineage: Eukaryota; Metazoa; Cnidaria; Anthozoa; Scleractinia; Merulinidae
Source: RefSeq, a predicted model, not a curated record